GAUGAACGCUGGCGGCGUGCCUAAUACAUGCAAGUCGAGCGAACGGACGAGACGCUUGCUUCUCUCAUGUUAGCGGCGGACGGGUGAGUAACACGUGGAUCACCUACUUAUCUGACUGGUAUAACUUCGGGAAACCGGCUCUAAUACCGGAUAAUAUUUUGAACCGCAUUGUUCAAAAGAGAAAUACGGUCUUUCUGUCACUACUAGCUGCAUCCGCGCUGCAUUAGCUAGUUGGGAAGGUAACGGCCUACCAAGGCUACGAUGCAUAGGCGACCUGAGAGGGGGAUAGGCCACACUGGAACUGAGACACGGUCAAGACGCCUAAGGGAGGCAGCAGUAGGGAAUCUGACGCAGUGGGCGAAAGCCUGACGGAGCAACGCCGCGUGAGUGAUGAAGGUCUUCGGAUCGUAAAAAUCGGUUAUUAGGGAAGAACAGAUGUGGAAGUAACUGUGCACAUAGUGACGGUACCUAAUCAGAAAGCCACGGCUAACUACGUG
RNAcentral lists this ribosomal RNA (497 nucleotides) under uncultured bacterium. RNAcentral describes it as "partial 16S ribosomal RNA". It matches the Rfam family "Bacterial small subunit ribosomal RNA", at positions 28 to 507 of the family's 1533-position model. The record is from RNAcentral.